RNAcentral lists this ribosomal RNA (255 nucleotides) under uncultured bacterium. RNAcentral's name for it is "partial 16S ribosomal RNA". It matches the Rfam family "Bacterial small subunit ribosomal RNA", at positions 99 to 354 of the family's 1533-position model. The record is from RNAcentral.
CGGACGGGUGAGUAACGCGUGGAAAACCUGCCGUAUACUGGGGGAUAACACUUAGAAAUAGGUGCUAAUACCGCAUAAGCGCACAGCUUCGCAUGAAGCGGUGUGAAAAACUCUGGUGGUAUACGAUGGUUCCGCGUCUGAUUAGCUAGUUGGUGGGGUAAUGGCCUACCAAGGCAACGAUCAGUAGCCGGCCUGAGAGGGUGAACGGCCACAUUGGGACUGAGACACGGACCAGACUCCUACGGAAGGCAGCAG